This 905-nucleotide ribosomal RNA is filed under the name Sodalis endosymbiont of Pseudolynchia sp. ES-2018. RNAcentral's name for it is "bacterial SSU rRNA". It matches the Rfam family "Bacterial small subunit ribosomal RNA", at positions 145 to 1028 of the family's 1533-position model. The record is from RNAcentral. Lineage: Bacteria; Pseudomonadati; Pseudomonadota; Gammaproteobacteria; Enterobacterales; Bruguierivoracaceae.
AACUAUUGGAAACGAUAGCUAAUACCGCAUAAUAUCAAUUAAUUAGUUAAUUGAUCAAAGUAGGGGAUUUAUUUUUAAACCUUACACCUUUGGAUGAACCCAGAUGAGAUUAGCUAGUAGGUGAGGUAAAUGCUCACCUAGGCAACGAUCUCUAGCUGGUCUGAGAGGAUGACCAGCCACACUGGAACUGAGACACGGUCCAGACUCCUACGGGAGGCAGCAGUGGGGAAUAUUGCACAAUGGGGGAAACCCUGAUGCAGCCAUGCCGCGUGUGUGAAGAAGGCCUUCGGGUUGUAAAGCACUUUCAGUAGGGAGGAAAAAAAUAUAGGAUAACACCCUUUAUUAUUGACGUUACCUACAGAAGAAGCACCGGCUAACUCCGUGCCAGCAGCCGCGGUAAUACGGAGGGUGCGAGCGUUAAUCGGAAUUACUGGGCGUAAAGCGUACGCAGGCGGUUUAUUAAGUCAGAUGUGAAAUCCCUGGGCUUAACCCAGGAACUGCAUUUGAAACUGAUAGACUAGAGUCUCGUAGAGGGGGGUAGAAUUCCAGGUGUAGCGGUGAAAUGCGUAGAGAUCUGGAGGAAUACCAGUGGCGAAGGCGACCCCCUGGACGAAAACUGACGCUCAUGUACAAAAGCGUGGGGAGCAAACAGGAUUAGAUACCCUGGUAGUCCAUGCCGUAAACGAUGUCGAUUUGAAGGUUGUAACCUAGAGUUAUAGCUUUCGUAGCUAACGCGUUAAAUCGACCGCCUGGGGAGUACGGCCGCAAGGUUAAAACUCAAAUGAAUUGACGGGGGCCCGCACAAGCGGUGGAGCAUGUGGUUUAAUUCGAUGCAACGCGAAAAACCUUACCUACUCUUGACAUCCAAAGAACUUAGCAGAGAUGCUUUGGUGCCUUCGGGAACU